GGGUUGUGAGGUUAAGCGACUAAGCGUACACGGUGGAUGCCCUGGCAGUCAGAGGCGAUGAAGGACGUGCUAAUCUGCGAUAAGCGCCGGUAAGGUGAUAUGAACCGUUAUAACCGGCGAUUUCCGAAUGGGGAAACCCAGUGUGAUUCGUCACACUAUCAUUAACUGAAUCCAUAGGUUAAUGAGGCGAACCGGGGGAACUGAAACAUCUAAGUACCCCGAGGAAAAGAAAUCAACCGAGAUUCCCCCAGUAGCGGCGAGCGAACGGGGAGGAGCCCAGAGCCUGAAUCAGUAUGUGUGUUAGUGGAAGCGUCUGGAAAGGCGCGCGAUACAGGGUGACAGCCCCGUACACAAAAGCGCAUAUGCUGUGAGCUCGAUGAGUAGGGCGGGACACGUGGUAUCCUGUCUGAAUAUGGGGGGACCAUCCUCCAAGGCUAAAUACUCCUGACUGACCGAUAGUGAACCAGUACCGUGAGGGAAAGGCGAAAAGAACCCCGGCGAGGGGAGUGAAAAAGAACCUGAAACCGUGUACGUACAAGCAGUGGGAGCCCCACCACUAAGCCAGUGGUGAACUCCACAUACGCAUCCUUUGCUGAGGAUACGGUUAACGGAGCGAAAGCGACGUUCAACCGCAAAAGAAGCAGAGGGGGCUUAGUGGUGGGGUGACUGCGUACCUUUUGUAUAAUGGGUCAGCGACUUAUAUUCUGUAGCAAGGUUAACCGUAUAGGGGAGCCG
RNAcentral lists this ribosomal RNA (735 nucleotides) under Salmonella enterica. RNAcentral's name for it is "partial 23S ribosomal RNA". It matches the Rfam family "Bacterial large subunit ribosomal RNA", at positions 1 to 668 of the family's 2925-position model. Lineage: Bacteria; Pseudomonadati; Pseudomonadota; Gammaproteobacteria; Enterobacterales; Enterobacteriaceae. The record is from RNAcentral.